CAUGCAGCCGAGCGGUAGAGAUCUUUCUGGAUCUUGAGAGCGGCGUACGGGUGCGGAACACGUGUGCGACCUGCCUUUAUCAGGGGGAUAGCCUUUCGAAAGGAAGAUUAAUACCCCAUAAUAUAUUGAGUGGCAUCACUUAAUAUUGAAAACUCCGGUGGAUAGAGAUGGGCACGCGCAAGAUUAGAUAGUUGGUGAGGUAACGGCUCACCAAGUCUGCGAUCUUUAGGGGGCCUGAGAGGGUGAUCCCCCACACUGGUACUGAGACACGGACCAGACUCCUACGGGAGGCAGCAGUGAGGAAUAUUGGACAAUGGGUGCGAGCCUGAUCCAGCCAUCCCGCGUGAAGGACGACGGCCCUAUGGGUUGUAAACUUCUUUUGUAUAGGGAUAAACCUACUCUCGUGAGAGUAGCUGAAGGUACUAUACGAAUAAUCACCGGCUAACUCCGUGCCAGCAGCCGCGGUAAUACGGAGGGUGCAAGCGUUAUCCGGAUUUAUUGGGUUUAAAGGGUCCGUAGCGGAUCUGUAAGUCACUGGUGAAAUCUCACAGCUUAACUGUGAACUGCCAUUGAUACUGCAGUCUUGAGUGUUGUUGUACUAGCUGGAAUAAGUAGUGUAGCGAUGAAAUGCAUAAAUAUUACUUAGAACACCGAUUGCUAAGGCAAGUUACUAAGCCACG
RNAcentral lists this ribosomal RNA (680 nucleotides) under uncultured bacterium. RNAcentral describes it as "bacterial SSU rRNA". It matches the Rfam family "Bacterial small subunit ribosomal RNA", at positions 54 to 738 of the family's 1533-position model. The record is from RNAcentral.